Molecule: ribosomal RNA, 374 nt
Filed under: uncultured bacterium
Lineage: Bacteria
Description: bacterial SSU rRNA
Rfam family: Bacterial small subunit ribosomal RNA
Source: RNAcentral
UACGUAGGGUGCGAGCGUUAAUCGGAAUUACUGGGCGUAAAGCGUGCGCAGGCGGCUUUGCAAGACAGAUGUGAAAUCCCCGGGCUCAACCUGGGAACUGCAUUUGUGACUGCAAGGCUAGAGUACGGCAGAGGGGGAUGGAAUUCCGCGUGUAGCAGUGAAAUGCGUAGAUAAGCGGAGGAACACCAAUGGCGAAGGCAAUCCCCUGGGCCUGUACUGACGCUCAUGCACGAAAGCGUGGGGAGCAAACAGGAUUAGAUACCCUGGUAGUCCACGCCCUAAACGAUGUCAACUGGUUGUUGGACGGCUUGCUGUUCAGUAACGAAGCUAACGCGUGAAGUUGACCGCCUGGGGAGUACGGCCGCAAGGUUGAA